RNAcentral lists this ribosomal RNA (497 nucleotides) under uncultured bacterium. Its description in RNAcentral is "partial 16S ribosomal RNA". It matches the Rfam family "Bacterial small subunit ribosomal RNA", at positions 28 to 507 of the family's 1533-position model. The record is from RNAcentral.
GAUGAACGCUGGCGGCGUGCCUAAUACAUGCGAGUCGAGCGAACAGACGAGGAGCUUGCUCCUCUGACGUUAGCGGCGGACGGGUGAGUAACACGUGGAUAACCUACCUAUAAGACUGGGAUAACUUCGGGAAACCGGAGCUAAUACCGGAUAAUAUAUUGAACCGCAUGGUUCAAUAGUGAAAGACGGUUUUGCUGUCACUUAUAGAUGGAUCCGCGCCGCAUUAGCUAGUUGGUAAGGUAACGGCUUACCAAGGCAACGAUGCGUAGCCGACCUGAGAGGGUGAUCGGCCACACUGGAACUGAGACACGGUCCAGACUCCUACGGGAGGCAGCAGUAGGGAAUCUUCCGCAAUGGGCGAAAGCCUGACGGAGCAACGCCGCGUGAGUGAUGAAGGUCUUCGGAUCGUAAAACUCUGUUAUUAGGGAAGAACUAAUGUGUAAGUAACUAUGCACGUCUUGACGGUACCUAAUCAGAAAGCCACGGCUAACUACGUG